UUUUUAUCACUUAUAAAGAUGUAGUAUAAUUUAUAAAGCAAGGGAUUAGUUCAGAAUUUAAUUAAUUAACUGAUAAGUUGUGAUUAGGCUAAUUGUAUUUCUUGUGUAUAGUUUGUUGUUCGUGAUGUUUGCGAUAGGUUCGAGAAGCGUAAUUAUUGCGCUUAAUUGUACGUCGAUAAUUAGUAUCUCCGUAUGAAAUUGUUCAACGCCUCACCGCUAGGUGUUAAUUCGCUAUCGCGUAGUACUAUUUAGGUUUGUUAUAUUUCCGUCGAUAUGCAUUCAUGUGCAUAAUGCAUUCCAUUCAGGUACGUUAAUUAAUCGCGUGUUGCGGAAGACGAGCCAAGUCGACUCCAAGCGCGGGCUAUUCCGCAGGAUGAUGCUGAUGGACAAACCUGAAGAUGGUCGUCAAGUGGACGCCGUCUAACAAACACUAACCCAGUGUUUAUUCCAGGCAAGCCCUGGUGCAUGCAACCCCUUCCUUGUGUUUUUAAAUAAUUUUUGCGCACUUUAAGUCUAGUGAAAUGUGCAUUAGGUUUAUAUGAGUUGCUUGGAACCUUUGAUGCAUUGCCUUCCUUGAUAUCCAUACCUUUAUAGAUACUUCUGGUGAAGUAUCAAAAUAUGAUUUACAAAAAUGCUUAGCCCUGCUCAGAUCUUGUGGAUAGAGGUUGUCUUUUGCAUUAAGGCCUAGCUCAAGGGUUAUCCUGGGGAAAGAUGGCUUCUACCUGCAAGAAUAUUUUUGUUGAGAGCGUGGUGGGAUCUUACUGCAAAGUUCCCUUUGAUGCUCUUUUCUUCCUAAGGAAUACAAACAAUCCUAAGGGUGGAAGUACUUAAAUCGGGACUUGGGCUAGGAACAGGUGAUGUUCUACCCAGGUUGAUUAAGGAUUGGAUGCGUAUGUAGGCCUGCUAGAUCAAGGACUAUCUUAACUAGCCACAUACCCUGGAAAUGGGACAGGGUAAGCUUUGCCUCGGGCAGACUAAUACCAGAAUAAGAUAACACGCAAUGGGAGUGGAGAGAUGACGAGAGUAGCGUGUACCCUUCGUGGCAAGAGGCUGGACGGUGGUGUAUCUGUGCUCUCGGUUGGCGUGAACCUGAUCUGGUCUUAAGAACCCCAGUGGCGAGUUGACAUAUGCAAGGGUUAAGUGCUACAUAUGUCGUGUGGUUAGAAAUCCUCAGCUAAGUAAAUCGAUUCGGAUCACCGUUAUAUCCCCGAAGAGUGGAGACUUGAUCACUGACCUGCAACCUAAGUCAGGAUGUGGACAUUAUGAAUAAAAAUGAUGUUGUAUUGAUGAGAUGGUGAAAUUAGACUAGAUGCAAUCAGAGUCUAUUAAUAUUUAAUCUGGCGUUAAAACAUUGAAAGUAAGGAUUCACUUUAGUAAGCUAUUUCUGCAAAAAUAUCUAAGUUGAUUCUUGCUAAAGCCUUUUCCUUGAUUCCCAUUAAACCAGCAUACCCUUGAGAGUCUUUUCUUUUGUCGGGUAAGUCUUGCUGAGUAAUUCCAUACUCAGGGUUUUAUUCCCUGUUGUUUUUCAGGAUAUAACUUUGUGCUGCUGUGAUGGUGUUAAGUGCCGGUGGGCUCGGCCUUCUUAUAGAAGUAUACCCUGUCUUUAUCUUCUUAUUGAGGAUGGUCACUUGAGCUAGCAUAUAUUUCAAACUUAUACUUUUGUAAUCACUCCGAUAAAAUAUUAUAAAAUUUUUGUAACUUGUAAAAUUUGGUAAUAAGAUUUCCG
This 1726-nucleotide long non-coding RNA is filed under the name Zea mays. RNAcentral describes it as "long non-coding RNA (ZMAY_LNC002521)". The record is from RNAcentral. Lineage: Eukaryota; Viridiplantae; Streptophyta; Magnoliopsida; Poales; Poaceae.